UAUCUUGUCAUAAUUGACUUGCAAAUUCAUUAGAUAUAUAAAUCGGGUAAUGGAAAUGAUUACAAGUGAGAACUCAACUCAAUUAAGCUUGCAUCCCUAUUAUGGUACAAGUAGGCUAGACCUGAACAUGGGCUGAAACCGCUAGUUUGGCCUGAUUCUGGUUCAAAAAUGGUUUCAAUUCAAAACGGUUUUCAUUCGAAACAGCUUUUGUUUCUGCCCUUGUAUUAUCAAACUAUAAUAAAUUUUUAGACCUCAUUUAUAAGCCAAAUAAUUUAGUUUUUGACGUAAAAAAAUUAAAAAGACUUUCGGAACUGCGGGUUUGAAUUGACCUACUUUGGGAUCAGUUCAAGAAGGGAGGUGUGGGACUCUUGAAUCUGGUUUAACAUCGUCCUCCAAUAAUGCUAUUACGAUGCUAGGAUAUUAAUGUCACUAAGGCGGAGGAAAGGA
RNAcentral lists this unclassified non-coding RNA (447 nucleotides) under Hevea brasiliensis (rubber tree). The record is from RNAcentral. Lineage: Eukaryota; Viridiplantae; Streptophyta; Magnoliopsida; Malpighiales; Euphorbiaceae.